RNAcentral lists this ribosomal RNA (629 nucleotides) under uncultured bacterium. RNAcentral describes it as "bacterial SSU rRNA". It matches the Rfam family "Bacterial small subunit ribosomal RNA", at positions 246 to 885 of the family's 1533-position model. The record is from RNAcentral.
UUGUUGGUGGGGUGAUGGCCUACCAAGGCUUCGACGGGUAGCCGGCCUGAGAGGGUGACCGGCCACACUGGGACUGAGACACGGCCCAGACUCCUACGGGAGGCAGCAGUGGGGAAUAUUGGACAAUGGGCGAAAGCCUGAUCCAGCAACGCCGCGUGAGGGAUGACGGCCUUCGGGUUGUAAACCUCUUUCAGCGCAGACGAAGCGAAAGUGACGGUAUGCGCAGAAGAAGCACCGGCCAACUACGUGCCAGCAGCCGCGGUAAUACGUAGGGUGCGAGCGUUGUCCGGAAUUAUUGGGCGUAAAGGGCUCGUAGGCGGUCUGUUGCGUCAGGAGUGAAAACUCGGGGCUUAACCCCGAGCCUGCUUCUGAUACGGGCAGACUAGAGGUAUGCAGGGGAGAACGGAAUUCCUGGUGUAGCGGUGAAAUGCGCAGAUAUCAGGAGGAACACCGGUGGCGAAGGCGGUUCUCUGGGCAUUACCUGACGCUGAGGAGCGAAAGUGUGGGGAGCGAACAGGAUUAGAUACCCUGGUAGUCCACACCGUAAACGUUGGGCGCUAGGUGUGGGACUCAUUCCACGAGUUCCGUGCCGCAGCUAACGCAUUAAGCGCCCCGCCUGGGGAGUACGG